UGGGGAUGACGUCAAAUCAUCAUGCCCCUUAUGACCUGGGCUACAAACGUGAUGCAAUGGCUGAAACAAAGGGCAGCGAAGCAGUGAUGUGGAGCGAAACCCAAAAAAGCAGUCUCAGUUCGGAUUGAAGUCUGCAACUCGACUUCAUGAAGUCGGAAUCGCUAGUAAUCGCGGAUCAGAACGCCGCGGUGAAUACGUUCUCGGGGUUU
This 209-nucleotide ribosomal RNA is filed under the name uncultured Acholeplasma sp. RNAcentral describes it as "partial 16S ribosomal RNA". It matches the Rfam family "Bacterial small subunit ribosomal RNA", at positions 1174 to 1382 of the family's 1533-position model. Lineage: Bacteria; Bacillati; Mycoplasmatota; Mollicutes; Acholeplasmatales; Acholeplasmataceae. The record is from RNAcentral.